RNAcentral lists this ribosomal RNA (497 nucleotides) under uncultured bacterium. RNAcentral describes it as "partial 16S ribosomal RNA". It matches the Rfam family "Bacterial small subunit ribosomal RNA", at positions 28 to 507 of the family's 1533-position model. The record is from RNAcentral.
GAUGAACGCUGGCGGCGUGCCUAAUACAUGCAAGUCGAGCGAACAGACGAGGAGCUUGCUCCUCUGACGUUAGCGGCGGACGGGUGAGUAACACGUGGAUAACCUACCUAUAAGACUGGGAUAACUUCGUGAAACCGGAUCUACUACCGGAUAAUAUAUUGAACCGCAUGGUUCAAUAGUGAAAGACGGUUUUGCUGUCACUUUUAGAUGGAUCCGCGCCGCAUUAGCUAGUUGGUAAGGUAACGGCUUACCAAGGCAACGAUGCGUAGCCGACCUGAGAGGAUGAUCAGCCACACUGGAACUGAGACACGGUCCAGACUCCUACGGGAGGCAGCAGUAGGGAAUAUUCGACAAUGGGCGAAAGCCUGACGGAGCAACGCCGCGUGAGUGAUGAAGGUCUUCGGAUCGUAAAACUCUGUUAUUAGGAAAGAACAAAUGUGUAAGAAACUAUGCACGUCUUGACGGUACCUAAACAGAAAGCCACGGCUAACUACGUG